CCUACGGGUGGCAGCAGUGAGGAAUAUUGGUCAAUGGCCGGAAGGCUGAACCAGCCAAGCCGCGUGAAGGACGAAGGUGCCAAGCAUUGUAAACUUCUUUUGUCAAGGAAUAAAACGAGGCACGUGUGCCUUUUGUAUGUACUUUAUGAAUAAGGAUCGGCUAACUCCGUGCCAGCAGCCGCGGUAAGACGGAGGAUCCGAGCGUUAUCCGGAUUUAUUGGGUUUAAAGGGGGCGUAGAUGGGUUGUUAAGUCAGUUGUGAAAGUUUGCGGCUCAACCGUAAAAUUGCAAUUGAUACUGGCAGUCUUGAGUACAGUUGAGGUAGGCGGAAUUCGUGGUGUAGCGGUGAAAUGCUUAGAUAUCACGAAGAACCCCGAUUGCGAAGGCAGCUUACUAAACUGUGACUGACAUUGAUGCUCGAAAGUGUGGGUAUCAAACAGGAUUAGAUACCCGGGUAGUC
This 459-nucleotide ribosomal RNA is filed under the name uncultured bacterium. Its description in RNAcentral is "partial 16S ribosomal RNA". It matches the Rfam family "Bacterial small subunit ribosomal RNA", at positions 338 to 795 of the family's 1533-position model. The record is from RNAcentral.